UACGAAGGGGGCUAGCGUUGCUCGGAAUCACUGGGCGUAAAGCGCACGUAGGCGGAUUGCUAAGUCAGGGGUGAAAUCCUGGAGCUCAACUCCAGAACUGCCUUUGAUACUGGCGACCUUGAGUCCGGGAGAGGUGAGUGGAACUGCGAGUGUAGAGGUGAAAUUCGUAGAUAUUCGCAAGAACACCAGUGGCGAAGGCGGCUCACUGGCCCGGUACUGACGUUGAGGUGCGAAAGCGUGGGGAGCAAACAGG
This 253-nucleotide ribosomal RNA is filed under the name uncultured bacterium. RNAcentral describes it as "partial 16S ribosomal RNA". It matches the Rfam family "Bacterial small subunit ribosomal RNA", at positions 524 to 776 of the family's 1533-position model. The record is from RNAcentral.